CCUACGGGGGGCUGCAGUGGGGAAUAUUGGACAAUGGGCGAAAGCCUGAUCCAGCCAUGCCGCGUGUGUGAAGAAGGCCUUCGGGUUGUAAAGCACUUUCAGUGGGGAAGAAAGCCUUGGGGCUAAUACCCUCGAGGAAGGACAUCACCCACAGAAGAAGCACCGGCUAACUCCGUGCCAGCAGCCGCGGUAAUACGGAGGGUGCGAGCGUUAAUCGGAAUUACUGGGCGUAAAGCGCGCGUAGGCGGUCUGAUAAGCCGGUUGUGAAAGCCCGGGGCUCAACCUGGGAACGGCAUCCGGAACUGUCAGGCUAGAGUGCAGGAGAGGAAGGUAGAAUUCCCGGUGUAGCGGUGAAAUGCGUAGAGAUCGGGAGGAAUACCAGUGGCGAAGGCGGCCUUCUGGACUGACACUGACGCUGAGGUGCGAAAGCGUGGGUAGCAAACAGGAUUAGAUACCCCAGUAGUC
RNAcentral lists this ribosomal RNA (465 nucleotides) under Vreelandella stevensii. RNAcentral's name for it is "partial 16S ribosomal RNA". It matches the Rfam family "Bacterial small subunit ribosomal RNA", at positions 338 to 795 of the family's 1533-position model. The record is from RNAcentral. Lineage: Bacteria; Pseudomonadati; Pseudomonadota; Gammaproteobacteria; Oceanospirillales; Halomonadaceae.